Molecule: long non-coding RNA, 267 nt
Filed under: Actinidia chinensis (golden kiwifruit)
Lineage: Eukaryota; Viridiplantae; Streptophyta; Magnoliopsida; Ericales; Actinidiaceae
Description: long non-coding RNA (ACHI_LNC003719)
Source: RNAcentral
AUGUCAACGGAACGACAAAUUCUGCACGACAUAGUUAAUACAAUUUCAGGUCAGUCAAGAUUGAAAACUAUGUUUAAUACAAUUUCAGGUCAUUGAAGAUAUUGAAAACUAUGUAGUCCGAAUGACAGGCUGGUAUGAAUGGGUUUGGUUGCCACCAUUGAAGACCAUGUGGUGUGAUAUUCUCCGUUGGGGGGGCCACUUCACAGUUUUGCAUCCCUGAAAUUAGUCUAUUUUUAGUACGCGUUAUUGAUUUCUGUAAAUUACAAG